This 348-nucleotide long non-coding RNA is filed under the name Theobroma cacao (cacao). RNAcentral describes it as "long non-coding RNA (TCAC_LNC002062)". Lineage: Eukaryota; Viridiplantae; Streptophyta; Magnoliopsida; Malvales; Malvaceae. The record is from RNAcentral.
AGUGGAUAGUCAAUAAUUGCUGCAAGGCACAGCUAUCCUCCAAGGAAAUUGUUCCAGACUUAGAAUGUUAAAGAUAUUUGCUCGAAGGAGUUUGUAUUUCAGAUAAGUAGACUUGCUCAAGGAUAAACAACAACAUUGAAGUUACGCAAUUGAAAAAUCAUUCCAAAGUUUAAGAGGUUCAUAGAUUUCUUGAUGUAUUACUAAGGUUCAUUUUAAAGGUUUCGACUGAUAUUUGUGUGCUAUAAAAGAGACACAAAUAGUACACAUUUACAACAUUGAAGUUAUUCAAUUGAAAAAUCAUUCCAAAGUUUAAGAGGUUUAUAGAUUUCUUGAUAUAUUACUGAGGUU